CAGAUACUGAUUGCCAAUCAAAGUACA
This 27-nucleotide small RNA is filed under the name Bombyx mori (domestic silkworm). RNAcentral describes it as "ovarian small RNA-13142". The record is from RNAcentral. Lineage: Eukaryota; Metazoa; Arthropoda; Insecta; Lepidoptera; Bombycidae.